This 127-nucleotide small RNA is filed under the name Marmota monax (woodchuck). The record is from RNAcentral. Lineage: Eukaryota; Metazoa; Chordata; Mammalia; Rodentia; Sciuridae.
GCUGGGCACAGUGGCACAUGUCUGUAAUCCCAACAACUCAGGAGGCUGAGGCAGGAGGAUCACUAGUUCAAAGUCAGCCUCAGUAAAUUAACAAGACCCUAAACAACUUAGUGAGAUCCUUUCUUAA